This 466-nucleotide ribosomal RNA is filed under the name uncultured bacterium. Its description in RNAcentral is "partial 16S ribosomal RNA". It matches the Rfam family "Bacterial small subunit ribosomal RNA", at positions 30 to 507 of the family's 1533-position model. The record is from RNAcentral.
CGACCGCUGGCGGCGUGCUUAACACAUGCACGUCGCACGGAAAGGCCCUGCUUUUGUGGGGUGCUCGAGUGGCGAACGGGUGAGUAACACGUGAGUAACCUGCCCUUGACUUUGGGAUAACUUCAGGAAACUGGGGCUAAUACCGGAUAGGAGCUCCUGCUGCAUGGUGGGGGUUGGAAAGUUUCGGCGGCUGGGGAUGGACUCGCGGCUUAUCAGCUUGUUGGUGGGGUAGUGGCUUACCAAGGCUUUGACGGGUAGCCGGCCUGAGAGGGUGACCGGCCACAUUGGGACUGAGAUACGGCCCAGACUCCUACGGGAGGCAGCAGUGGGGAAUAUUGCACAAUGGGCGGAAGCCUGAUGCAGCAACGCCGCGUGCGGGAUGACGGCCUUCGGGUUGUAAACCGCUUUCGCCUGUGACGAAGCGUGAGUGACGGUAAUGGGUAAAGAAGCACCGGCUAACUACGUG